CCGGUAAACGGCGGCCGUAACUAUAACGGUCCUAAGGUAGCGAAAUUCCUUGUCGGGUAAGUUCCGACCUGCACGAAUGGCGUAAUGAUGGCCAGGCUGUCUCCACCCGAGACUCAGUGAAAUUGAACUCGCUGUGAAGAUGCAGUGUACCCGCGGCAAGACGGAAAGACCCCGUGAACCUUUACUAUAGCUUGACACUGAACAUUGAGCCUUGAUGUGUAGGAUAGGUGGGAGGCUUUGAAGUGU
RNAcentral lists this ribosomal RNA (246 nucleotides) under Escherichia coli. RNAcentral describes it as "partial 23S ribosomal RNA". It matches the Rfam family "Bacterial large subunit ribosomal RNA", at positions 1920 to 2165 of the family's 2925-position model. The record is from RNAcentral. Lineage: Bacteria; Pseudomonadati; Pseudomonadota; Gammaproteobacteria; Enterobacterales; Enterobacteriaceae.